Notolabrus celidotus (New Zealand spotty) is the source of this 6266-nucleotide RNA transcript. It is a transcript of the gene named HECT domain and ankyrin repeat containing E3 ubiquitin protein ligase 1, with no coding region annotated. The transcript is spliced from 26 exons. The record is from RefSeq and is a predicted model, not a curated record. NCBI's taxonomy places the organism in Eukaryota, Metazoa, Chordata, Actinopteri, Labriformes, Labridae.
AACAGGAAGUGCCAGAGACUGGGCGAUACUGUUUGAAGUGUGAGAGCAGAGCAGGAAAAUAUGAGCGGACUGUAAAAUCUGAGGCACGGUUCCUCCUCAGGCCGACAGACAGCGCCCAUGGACGGGCCUCAGGAGCUACACACCGCCAUCAAGAGCUCCUAAACGCGCCGAGAGAGGCCCCUUCCCCACGAUUCUUCCCGGUGGAUCGCUCACCUAUGAUGGAACGGGCGAUGGAGCAACUAAACGUACAGCUGAACCGGCUGACCCGCUCCCUGCGCCGGGCCAGGACCGUGGAACUCCCGGAAGAUAAUGAGACUGCUGUGUACACACUGAUGCCGAUGGUAAUGGCUGACCAGCACAGGUCUGUGUCCGAGCUCCUGCUCAACUCAAAGUUUGAUGUGAACUACGCCUUUGGUCGGGUGAAGAGAAGUCUGCUGCACAUCGCUGCCAACUGUGGAUCGGUGGAGUGUCUCGUCCUGCUGCUGAAGAGAGGAGCUAACCCGAACUACCAGGACAUCUCAGGCUGCACCCCACUGCACCUCGCUGCCAGGAACGGACAGAAGAAGUGUAUGGGCAGACUGCUGGAAUAUAAUGCUGACGUCAACAUCUGCAACAACGAGGGCCUGACUGCUAUCCACUGGCUGGCAGUGAACGGGCGGACUGAGCUCCUCCAUGAUCUGGUCCAGCACGUGUCCAACGUGGACGUGGAGGACGCCAUGGGACAGACGGCUCUGCAUGUAGCCUGUCAGAAUGGACACAAGACCACGGUGUUGUGUUUGCUGGAUAGUGGAGCUGACAUCAACCGACCCAACGUCUCUGGAGCCACGCCCCUGUACUUCGCCUGCAGUCACGGUCAGAGAGACACGGCUCAGAUCCUGCUCUCUCGAGGAGCCAAAUACCUGGCUGACAAAAACGGGAUCACUCCUCUGGAUCUGUGUGUGCAGGGAGGAUACGGGGAAACCUGUGAGAUCCUGAUCCAGCAUCACGGCAGACUGUUCCAGACGCUCAUCCAGAUGACUCAGAACGAUGAUAUCAAGGAGAACAUGCUCAGGCAGGUUCUGGAGCACGUCUCUCAGCAGAGCGACAGUCACUAUCAGAGGAUCUUAACCAGCCUCGCUGAGGUCGCUACGACCAACGGACACAAGCUGCUCAGCCUGUCCAGCAGUUACGAAGCUCAGAUGAAGAGUUUGCUGAGAAUCGUUCGUAUUUUCUGUCACGUGUUUCGUCUCGGUCCUUCAUCCCCGAGCAACGGCAAUGACAUGGGCUACAACGGCAACAAGACGCCUCGCAGCCAGGUGUUCAAGAAGGAGGUAAAGAUGGUCCAAAAAGACGGCUGUCCCUGGACAGGUUCUGCUGUCCUAGAUCCGCUGGAGCUGCUAUGGCACUCCCUGGACGAGUGGCUGGUCCUCAUUUCAACAGAGCUGGACAGGAACAGGAAGAACCCUUCCUCUUCCUCCUCCAGCAGCGAGAUCGCCUCUCUGCUCCUCAAACAACGGGAGGCUGACCCCUCCUCAUCCUCCUCCACGCCAAAGCUCCCCUCCUCCCUGCUGGACUCUCAGAUCGUCAUGGAAACAGAGGUGUACCCCGACGGAGAGGACGUCAUCUCCAUGACAGCCAGUCGCCUCAGUGCUGUGAUCCAGGCCUUCUACAUGUGCUGCUCCUGUCAGAUGCCACAAGGGAUGACGUCUCCUCGUUUCAUCGAGUUUGUCUGCAAGCACGACGAGGUGCUGAAGUGUUUUGUAACCAGGAAUCCAAAGAUCAUCUUUAACCACUUUCACUUCCUGCUGGAGUGUCCCGAGCUGAUGUCCCGCUUCAUGCAUAUCAUCAAAGGCCAGCCCUUCAAGGAUCGCUGUGAGUGGUUCUACGAGCAUCUGCUGGCUGGACAGCCCGACUCCGACAUGGUUCAUCGUCCGGUCAACGAGAACGACAUCCUGCUGAUCCAUAGAGACUCCAUAUUCAGGAGCAGCUGUGAGAUGGUCUCAAAGUCCACCAACGAGAAGCUCAAACAGGGCAUCGCUGUCCGGUUCCAUGGAGAGGAGGGCAUGGGUCAGGGUGUGGUGCGGGAGUGGUUCGACGUCCUGUCCAAUGAGAUCAUUAAUCCAGACUACGGCCUGUUCACACAGUCAGCAGACGGCACCACUUUUCAGCCCAACAGUAACUCGUCGGUGAACCCGGACCACCUGAACUACUUCAGGUUUGCGGGUCAGAUCCUGGGUCUGGCUCUGUAUCACAGACAGCUGGUCAACAUCUACUUCACCCGCUCCUUCUACAAACACAUCCUGGGUAUCCCGGUGAACUACCAGGAUGUGGCGUCCAUCGAUCCAGAGUACGCUAAGAACCUCCAGUGGAUCCUGGACAACGACAUCAGUGACCUGGGUCUGGAGCUCACCUUCUCUGUGGAAACGGAUGUGUUCGGGGCGAUGGAGGAGGUGCCGCUAAAACCAGGAGGGACCAGCAUCCUGGUAACCCAGGACAACAAGGCGGAGUACGUCCAGCUGGUGACGGAGCUGAGGAUGACUCGGGCCAUCCAGCCGCAGAUAAACGCCUUCCUGCAGGGUUUCCACACCUUCAUCCCUCCCUCGCUCAUCCAGCUCUUCGAUGAGUAUGAACUGGAGCUCCUGCUGUCGGGGAUGCCAGAGAUCGAUGUUCAGGAUUGGUGCAGGAACACGGAGUACACCAGCGGCUACGACCCUCAGGAGCCGGUCAUCAAGUGGUUCUGGAUGGUGGUGGAGAGCCUGACUCAGGAGGAGCGGGUCCUCUUGCUUCAGUUUGUCACAGGAAGUUCCAGAGUUCCUCACGGGGGCUUCGCCUUCCUGAUGGGGGGGAGUGGAUUACAGAAGUUCACUGUUGCUGCGGUGCCGUACACCUCCAACCUGCUGCCUACCUCCAGUACAUGACUCAACAGUUCUGCAUCUCCAGGAGAGACAGAUAUAUAUCUGAACACUAGAGGGCAGUGCGUCUCUUCUCUGCAGACGGCUCAGUUUGAAAUGAGGGACAGGUCUCUGCAUGACGGAGUGUGCAACAGCAUCAACAUGCUGAAACUCCCAGAGUAUCCGAGCCAGGAGGUCCUCAGAGACAGGCUGCUGGUAGCGCUGCAUUGUGGGAGCUACGGGUACACCAUGGCGUGAUUAUCGCGUCACUUCCUGCUGAGUCAUGUGACGCUCUGACCUCCUGCGCGGCGAUGUUUCUGCUUCUGCUGGAUGAAAAAGGGAAAUCUAGAUUCUACUGAACACGCUGCUGGAUGGAGAGGGACAGACUGAACAAGACCGGGAUCAGGAUCUGGUUCUGGAUCUCACCUCAUCUUACCUGUGCCAAAACUUCUGGUAUAUGAUGGAAGCUGGCAUCGGGUAACUUAUGCAAAAAUAAUCUUUAAGUAUGAAAAUGUUCAAGCAUUACUUAUUUAAGACAACCUGCAGUUCCACUAUGAGUCCUCUUACAGGAUGCUGAUCCCCAUAAAUAUCCUCCUGCAGAGGUCUGAAUGUAAACUGUACAAUUAUUCAUCGUCAAUCAAAUGCGUCAUAUCCAUAUCACAGGUUUGCAAAUUUCUUAAAGGGCCAUAGUCAGAUUGGCAUAAAGAUGGAACGAAUCUGAAGCUGCUUUUGUCUCUGUUUAAACAUCUCCCACUCUUUAGACCAGGUCCCAGAUUUGACAUGUUUAAGAUUCAGAGUGUCUGCAGCAGUUCUUCGUCCUGCAGCAGGUGAACAGGCUGUAACGUCUGCAACAUAAUCCCUGAUGGAUCAAAGCGAGUCCACUAAGAGAUCCUGUUUUGGUCCCUGACAGGCUCGGGUUGUUAUUAAGAGAACAGAAAGGAUCCCUGCAGGGAGAGAGCUUUACAAGAAAGAGGAAGAUGUUUUUAAAACAACAACACCAGCGUUUUGUGAGUGGAGUCUGGUGUCUUUAAAGUGUCAGAUCCUGAACAAUAAGGUCUCUCUCUGCAGGGAUCCCGUCUGUAACGUCUGAAAGCCCUGAAGUAUUUCUUUGCAGUCAUUACAGCCUGUUACACUGCUGCUGGAGGACGCUAACUAUGAGAGCAUUUCCAAAACUGUAUGUACCUUUACCUUAUGACCUAAAGAUACGUAACAAAUAGGCCAUCAAAACUAUAAAUUAAUACCCUGAUAGUUUUAUUACCAUUAUUAUAGAUUUCUUGUCACAUUCCCUCUGAGUCCAUCUCCCUGUUUUGAUACGUCUUGUUUUUCUCGCCCAGCAGCUUCACUCUGAACAUUUGUCAGAUGCUCGGCCAUUAUCUGUUUUCUUAUUCUUUUUUUUUUUUAAACCUUCUUGCGCUUUGGAGAAACCAGUUUUCUGUCUUCUGUUUACCUAAACUUGUUUGAAAUAUAGGAAAAACAACAGACGAUGUAGCCGAAAGUGUGUGGAUAUCAGAUGAGAGGUGACAGAGCUUUAUGCAUCAGGGCCUGUGUCUACUGACGGCAGCACAGUCUCUCUCCUUCUCUGUGCCUCUCUGUAUUCUGUUAUUGAGAUGUGGGAGUCGUCUCACAGCACUCCGACUCCCCUGACGGUUUGGUCUGUUUGCUCCAUAUUUGAUGUUAUUUUAGGAAAGUUGACAAAAAGGGACAAAAACAAUGGAAUCAAAAGAUGUCCUGGUGUCAGCAGCUCAGCUCUGCCCCUGGAAAUGUAACCCUUGAAAUACAAGUCUGAUUAGAUUUGAUUGGCUGUUAAAGGAGAAUUAAAAGUAACGCACGUCUGGUGUUCCAAAAGUUGAACCAUUGCAGCUGAAUGCAGCGACAAUAAACAGCCGACACCAAGGGCUCUUUAUUUGCUUCGAGUUUAAGUUUUUGUGCCUGUGGAAAAAACACAGUUAGUGGAAACAGGCCCUUACUGAGCUGCUCUAACAGCCUCCGCUCACCUGGUUCUCUGACUGCAGAAAUGACUGACGUGGUCGCUGAGAAAUCACCCUGGUGUUUGUGUCUUGCUGGUUUCAAGCCUCAAAAUUUUGCAUUUUGGCGGUCGCCAUCUUGUUUUUUGAACCAGAUAUGACCAAAUAUUCAUACUGAAAAUAUACAUUUAACUGACUCCUCAGAGUGUCUUCAGGUCCCAUUAUUUCUCCUUCAAAUUUGCCGGUUUGGUCACUUUCAGACAAAUACUUAAUAUUUGUCUCUGUGUGAGAAGACGACAUAAGUCACCUUCAUUUUGAUAUAAUGAGAUAAAAUAUCAGAUAAAUGAAACCGAUGUGUGGAGAUGUUUCUACAGAAGAGACGUUUUUUAAAUUUCUAAAUCUGUGAUCACAUUAAAAAAUUUAAGAAUUAAGUCAAAAUCUGAGAUUAAGGAUUUAAUGAGGAUUUUAAGAAGUCAUGAAAAAAUAUAGAUUUAAAAAAUGAAGUUGUCAAGAUUAGAUUAUGGAUCUCAAGACUGAAAUAAUAAUAGAAUAAAGAAUACAAUAAAAUGUCAAGAAUUGAAUAUGAAUAUAAAGAAAAAAGUUAAGAAAGAGAAAAAGUUGUAUUAAGAAUGGUCCUCUUAUUUAUUUUUAUUCCAAUUCUGGCCCUAAUAUUUAAAGUUUGAGUUAAUUCUCAACAUUUACAAUUUAUUCUGACACUUUUCACUUCAAAAUGUAAAAGAUAAUUUAUUUUAUCAUGUUUUUUUCUCGAUCCUUGUCCUGAAACUCAUCCAGAGUUUAUAUUUCUGUAUACGUUUUGACUUUAGUCAGACAUUACAGUAUCUCAGACUGAACUCCCACAAGCUGGAUUUUAUGUUUUAGGACUGAAAGUAAAAUCAAAGGAUGGAUGUCGGGUUGAACCCCAAGUUUUAAAUCCAUCUGCAUGAAUACUUCACUCUGCUGCGUUUGAUGCACGUGUCACGUGAUUUACUGUACGACAUGUUCUGUCUCAUCUGUACUUUCUGCUGUUCUCUGUGCUUCAUGAAUGAAUAUCAAUCUUCAGUUCUGAUCAUCUGUUCGUUUAACGAGAGGCCAUGAGAGGUUUCUAUGUGACGAAUGUUGGCCUGCUGUGCCAAACAUUAAAAGCUGGAUUUGUUUUGAACUCUUUAAUUUGUAUUUUGCCAACAAAAGCAUGCUGAAAUAUGUUUUCAUUCCAGAGGAGACGGGAGUGUGUGCAGAAUUUUAAUUUUUAAAGGGAGUGUACAUAUCGAGCUCACGUCCUCUAUCAGUAUUGUUUUCAAAGCCUGGACUGAAAUGCUUUUGUAAACUGCCUUUAUACAUAUUUCUGUAAAUGUCUUCAGUAUCAAAUGAUGUAUUUUACCAUAAAUAUACGUCCUCCCUCAGAUUUAUCCAAUAAAAGUGCUUUUUUGACAGA